AAGUCGUAACAAGGUUUCCGUAGGUGAACCUGCGGAAGGAUCAUUACUGAGUGAGGGCCCUCUGGGUCCAACCUCCCACCCGUGUUUAUUGUACCUUGUUGCUUCGGUGCGCCCGCCUCACGGCCGCCGGGGGGCUUCUGCCCCCGGGUCCGCGCGCACCGGAGACACUAUUGAACUCUGUCUGAAGAUUGCAGUCUGAGCAUAAACUAAAUAAGUUAAAACUUUCAACAACGGAUCUCUUGGUUCCG
Molecule: unclassified non-coding RNA, 248 nt
Filed under: Penicillium sp.
Lineage: Eukaryota; Fungi; Ascomycota; Eurotiomycetes; Eurotiales; Aspergillaceae
Also listed under: 3 other names
Description: partial contains small subunit ribosomal RNA, internal transcribed spacer 1, and 5.8S ribosomal RNA
Rfam family: Eukaryotic small subunit ribosomal RNA (bases 1-46)
Source: RNAcentral